ACCUGGGUGGCUCAGUCGGUUGAGCGUCUGACUUCGGCUCAGGUCAUGAUCUCCCGGUUCGUGGGUUCGAGCCCCGCGUCGGGCU
This 85-nucleotide transfer RNA is filed under the name Felis catus (domestic cat). It matches the Rfam family "tRNA". Rfam says of the family: Transfer RNA (tRNA) molecules are approximately 80 nucleotides in length. The record is from Rfam by way of RNAcentral. Lineage: Eukaryota; Metazoa; Chordata; Mammalia; Carnivora; Felidae.